AGCCCCGUGGUGUAGCGGUCAAUCAUGCGGGCCUUUGGAGCCCGCAACCGGGGUUCGAAUCCCAGCGGGGCUA
Molecule: transfer RNA, 73 nt
Filed under: Geoglobus ahangari
Lineage: Archaea; Methanobacteriati; Methanobacteriota; Archaeoglobi; Archaeoglobales; Archaeoglobaceae
Description: tRNA-Gln
Rfam family: tRNA
About the family: Transfer RNA (tRNA) molecules are approximately 80 nucleotides in length. Their secondary structure includes four short double-helical elements and three loops (D, anti-codon, and T loops). Further hydrogen bonds mediate the characteristic L-shaped molecular structure. tRNAs have two regions of fundamental functional importance: the anti-codon, which is responsible for specific mRNA codon recognition, and the 3' end, to which the tRNAs corresponding amino acid is attached (by aminoacyl-tRNA synthetases). tRNAs cope with the degeneracy of the genetic code in two manners: having more than one tRNA (with a specific anti-codon) for a particular amino acid; and 'wobble' base-pairing, i.e. permitting non-standard base-pairing at the 3rd anti-codon position.
Source: RNAcentral